This 253-nucleotide ribosomal RNA is filed under the name uncultured bacterium. RNAcentral describes it as "partial 16S ribosomal RNA". It matches the Rfam family "Bacterial small subunit ribosomal RNA", at positions 524 to 776 of the family's 1533-position model. The record is from RNAcentral.
UACGAAGGGGGCUAGCGUUGCUCGGAAUCACUGGGCGUAAAGGGCGCGUAGGCGGUUCAUACAGUCAGAUGUGAAAUUCCUGGGCUCAACCUGGGGGCUGCAUUUGAUACGUGUGGACUAGAGUGGGGAAGAGGGUCGUGGAAUUCCCAGUGUAGAGGUGAAAUUCGUAGAUAUUGGGAAGAACACCAGUGGCGAAGGCGGCUCACUGGUCCGGUACUGACGCUGAGGUGCGAAAGCGUGGGGAGCAAACAGG